Molecule: ribosomal RNA, 1013 nt
Filed under: uncultured Bacteroidota bacterium
Lineage: Bacteria; Pseudomonadati; Bacteroidota
Description: bacterial SSU rRNA
Rfam family: Bacterial small subunit ribosomal RNA (bases 212-1013)
Source: RNAcentral
AGGGAGUUUGAUCCUGGCUCAACCGGGGAGCUGCCGUUGAUACUGGCGGACUAGGGUCCAAACGGCGCCGGCGGAAUAUGUAAUGUAGCGGUGAAAUGCAUAGAUAUUACAUAGAACACCGAUCGCGAAGGCAGCUGGCGAGGAUGGCACUGACGCUGAGGCACGAAGGCGUGGGGAUCGAACAGGAUUAGAUACCCUGGUAGUCCAGAAUUCGGCUUAGAGUUUGAUCCUGGCUCAGGAUGAACGCUAGCGGCAGGCUUAACACAUGCAAGUCGAGGGGCAGCGGGUGUAGCAAUACAUGCCGGCGACCGGCGCAAGGGUGCGUAACGCGUGAGCAAUCUGCCCGUAUCAGGGGGAUAAGCGAUGGAAACGUCGUCUAAUACCGCAUAACACCAAUGAUGGCAUCAUCGAUGGUUGAAAGCUUCGGUGGAUACGGAUGAGCUCGCGAGACAUUAUUUAGUUGGCGGGGUAACGGCCCACCAAGACCGCGAUGUCUAGGGGAACUGAGAGGUUGUUCCCCCACACUGGAACUGAGACACGGUCCAGACUCCUACGGGAGGCGGCAGUGAGGAAUAUUGGACAAUGGCCGGAAGGCUGAUCCAGCCAUGCCGCGUGAAGGAAUAAGGUCCUAUGGAUUGUAAACUUCUUUUGUACGAGAGCAAUAAGUGUCACGAGUGACACGAUGAGAGUAUCGUACGAAUAAGCAUCGGCUAACUCCGUGCCAGCAGCCGCGGUAAUACGGAGGAUGCGAGCGUUAUCCGGAUUUAUUGGGUUUAAAGGGUGCGUAGGCGGGAUUUUAAGUCAGCGGUGAAACGCAAGGGCUCAACCCUUGACCUGCCGUUGAAACUGGAGUUCUUGAAUGCGGAUGCUGUGGGAGGAAUGUGUGGUGUAGCGGUGAAAUGCAUAGAUAUCACACAGAACACCGAUUGCGAAGGCAUCUCACAAAUCCGUGAUUGACGCUGAGGCACGAAAGUGUGGGGAUCAAACAGGAUUAGAUACCCUGGUAGUCCCCU